Brachypodium distachyon (stiff brome) is the source of this 74-nucleotide non-coding RNA. NCBI's taxonomy places the organism in Eukaryota, Viridiplantae, Streptophyta, Magnoliopsida, Poales, Poaceae. The record is from Rfam.
GGUCCUGUAGCUCAGUUGGUUACAGUAUUGGUCUGAUAUGCCAAAGGUCUUGGGUUCAAGCCCCAACAGGAGCA